CGGAUUUGCAUUUUUUCAAAAUUUGAAUUCUCGCUAUAACGGAAUCAAGGCCAUUUGAAGAAGAAGAAGAAGAAGAAGGGCCAUUUAUAUAACCCUUUCUCUCAUUUUGAAACCCUAAAAUUCUUCUUUUCGCAACUUGUCUCUAGAAGUCUCGCAUCAAUGCUUUUUUCUUUUUCCGGCGAUCCAACACUAGAAAUGGCGUUGGCUAAGGAAGAUAAAGAAUGUUCUGAUUCGUCAUUUUCACUGGUGGGUGAUGGUGGUGGCUGGUAAUUGAAGAUCGUUUCAGGUCUUCAUUGCUUGAUGAAAAAGAAACAUAUAUCCGCCUAAACUGUAAAUUUGAUUUCAAAUAAGCAUCUAAAGUUUUUCUAUGUUGACGUGGAGUUGUAUGGGAAGCUCAUUGUGGAGAAUAUGAAUAUAGUCAAUUUAGUUCUUGCUGAAGAACGUAUCAGUGGUGAGUUCUCCUACAAAUUAUAUCCUCUAGUUUUCGUCUUCCUGAAAUAUGUGUUUUUUUUGUGUGCUGAUUAUUUAGUUCGUUGAUGAUAAUAAUGUAUUAGUGUUGUUUUGGUUCAUCAUAGUUACCCGUUUCAGUAUAGAAAACUAACCUUGAAGUACUGCUAAUCAAAGGAAGCAGCUCUUAGGAUCAGCUAUGUACGGCAAACCCUAUGAAUGAAGAGGUAAAUGGUAAUUUUCACUUCCCCCUAUUUUAUUGACCUCACUCUUAAUAUUGUAUGUGUCAGUAAUCUGCGAAGUUCAUAUAAGUGUGCCUAGAAUCAGAUCAGUUCAUACUUUGGAAAAUGGGGUGUGAAGGCAUGCGGGUCUUGACGUAAAAAAUCAUCAUGGCCUGUCAAUCAACUGGAAUAUGAUGAAUACUGCUCAAGCAGCGGCUUAUGGAGUACCAUAUAGAAAAUUUAUAUGAAGGGACGAUUCAAGGAAAAAGUUACAUAUGGAAAGAAGUUGAGAUAUUGAGAAGUAAACCCUGUUGGUACAAAGCACCUUAGUGCUUCAUUCAUUUUUUCCCUCUGAUUAUUAGUGUGUGCCACUAAAUAUGGAGCACUUUGAUAGCGUUUGCAAGAUGGCAAAGGAUUUGUCUACAUAAUACUGUGCAAAUUUUUCUUUGGAAGAAGAAAUAGAAGUAGACAAGUUAGUGGAAAUCUUGGUCUGGUUGUUGUGUGCAGUUCCUGGUUGGAUGAGAAAAAAGUGCAUGUAUGGUUCUGCAACAAGUCACUCACAUAUCUUCGAAUGCCAAAAAGUUUCUUAAGUAAUGGGUCAUACUUUGCAUUAUAGACACUUGUGAUCGAGUUGCUGAUAUAAAGACUCGAGGCCCUCUGCUAUGAAGUGUCCUAUUGCUUUCUGCGAAGCAAUUGGUUCUGGAUUUGUUUUCGAGAGGCUUUACAAAACAUCAAAGAGCAACAGAAUUCCAAGGUUCUUAGUGAAGGCUUGGUAUUGAUGGUUCUGCUGUUGAUGACUUUGGUUUCUCAUUUUGAAUCUUUAGGAUUUGAUAGAUUCUUGUAAAGAUCUUGGGAUGCAAUCUAGCACAGCUACCACCAGGAAUGCUACAAUUAAACUUUUGGGUGCUUUUCACAAGUUUGUUGGCUAAGAAUGCAAAUUUUUACUACAUCAAAAUGGUUUCUUAAGCCUGCACUUAUUGUUGAAUAUGAGAACCCCAUUUGAGCUUCAAAGAGAAGGUAUGAGUAGUAAGAUUACCCCUGUCAUUUUAAGGGAUUUAAAACUCCUAACUGGAAGUUGCUUUACAAUUUGGAAAUCUUCUAGGUGCGAGUGGAGUCAACUGGAGUUGUAAAUAAAAUUAUAGAAGAGGCUAACAAACAUAUCAAACCAAAAAGAAUCGGUAUGAGAUUCCUUACACAGCUCUAGUAUACGAGAAAAUGGGAGCAGAAGGACGUACAAAUCUUUUUGGACAAAUCAACAGUUGUGAUAAAAUCAAGCGAAAGAUGCAUCUCCAAGAUCUUGAGAGUCAGUAGACAAGAACCCAAUAGUUGCCUGAAAAAUUCAGACCAAAUUUGUUCAAGAAUGGUUGGGCUAGUGACAAAAGAUGUUUCAAGAUUUCAAAAUCGACUUCUAGUGGUUCCUAUUGAAGCAAGGAAACAGAACAAGUUAGAACAUUUGCAUGGAUUUAAUGCGAAGUAAAGAAUCGCAUUUUCAAAGAGUUGGGAGAGCCAUACUUUUUCUUAAUACUUCAUACUAAGGGUCGUAAAGACAAAUAUGUGCCUAGUCGAGACAAUUGAAGAGUCAGGUAUAACCCCUCCAACUCUCCUCCCCACUCAAACGGACAAACCAAACACAAACAACAACAACAAACUUGACUACCACUCAACACAAAAUAACACUAAACGUAAAUAACAAGCACGAAACACAAGAUAAACCGAACAAACUCCACACUCUAACCAUAAACUUCACACUCAAACCAUAAACUUCACACUCUAACCAUAAACUUCACACUCAAACCAAAAACUUCACACUCAAACCAAAAACUUCACAUACAACGAAACACAAGAUAAACCGAACAAACUUCACACUCAAACCAAAAACUUCACACUCAAACCAAAAACUUCACAUACAAACCAAAAACUUCACAUACAACGAAACACAAUACAAAAAUGAACAAAAACUCUACACUCAAACCAUAAAACUUCAUGCCCAACGAAACACACGACGAAAACUUCACAUGCCACUGAACACAAUAUAAACAUCGACAAAAACAAACAAAAUUCAACAAAACCAUAAACUUCACACUCAAAUCAUAAACUUCACAUGCCAUGAAACACAAUACAAAAAUAAACAAAAACUCUACACUCGGACGAUAAAACACAAUUCAUGCCUAACGAAAAAAAAACUCCACGAACUUCAAAUUUCGCAUGUCACUAAACACAACAUAAAAAUCGACAAAAAUAAACAAAACUCGACAAAUUCAUAGUCACCCGAAAAACAAAAAUGAACAAAAACUCUACACUCAAACCAUAAAACUUCAUGCCCAACGAAACACACGACGAAAACUUCACAUGCCACUGAACACAAUAUAAACAUCGACAAAAACAAACAAAAUUCAACAAAACCAUAAACUUCACACUCAAAUCAUAAACUUCACAUGCCAUGAAACAUAAUACAAAAAUAAACAAAAACUCUACACUCGGACGAUAAAACACAAUUCAUGCCUAACGAAAAAAAAACUCCACGAACUUCAAAUUUCGCAUGUCACUAAACACAACAUAAAAAUCGACAAAAAUAAACAAAACUCAACAAAUUCAUAGUCACCCGAAAAACUAGAGUUUCACGGAUAACGACAACUAUUUUUAAUUUACGAGUGUUAAAUGCUGUCUAUAUAUAUUAUCAAUAACAAUCCAUAGAAAUUUAUUAACGAUUUUAAAUGUUACUUACUCGGUGAAUUUUUUGUGUUAUUUUUCCUAUUAAAAAUAUUUCUUGUUCACUAUGCAACAUAUCUUGUCGCAAUUUCAUUUUUUCACCUUUCUUAAUUUCCCGAACUGUAUAUACAAGGCUAUAUCAUGUAAAUGACAUUAUUAGUGUGUCUCUUCUGCAAUGUAUGAAGAUAAUUUUAGUACACAAUAUUUCUCCA
Capsella rubella is the source of this 3589-nucleotide long non-coding RNA. RefSeq lists it as uncharacterized. The transcript is spliced from 21 exons. Lineage: Eukaryota; Viridiplantae; Streptophyta; Magnoliopsida; Brassicales; Brassicaceae. The record is from RefSeq and is a predicted model, not a curated record.